CCAAUAGCGUAUAUUAAAGUUGUUGCAGUUAAAAAGCUCGUAGUUGAAUUUCGGGAUUAGUACGUUGGUCGUGCCUUAGGUACGUACUGGUGUUACUGGUUCCUACCUUCUGACGAACCAUCAUGUCAUUAAUUUGGUGUGGCGGGGAAUCAGGACUGUUACUUUGAAAAAAUUAGAGUGUUUAAAGCAGGCUCGCGCUUGAAUACAUUAGCAUGGAAUAAUGAAAUAGGACGUUGACCCUAUUUUGUUGGUUUCUAGGAUUGACGUAAUGAUUAAUAGGGAUAGUUGGGGGCAUUAGUAUUCAAUUGUCAGAGGUGAAAUUCUUGGAUUUAUUGAAGACUAACUACUGCGAAAGCAUUUGCCAAGGAUGUUUUCAUUAAUCAAGAACGAAAGUUAGGGGAUCGAAGACGAUCAGAUACCGUCGUAGUCUUAACCAUAAACUAUGCCGACUAGGGAUCGGAUGAUGUUAAUUUUUUAAUGACUCAUUCGGCGCCUUACGG
Molecule: ribosomal RNA, 500 nt
Filed under: uncultured Glomeromycotina
Lineage: Eukaryota; Fungi; Glomeromycota
Description: partial small subunit ribosomal RNA
Rfam family: Eukaryotic small subunit ribosomal RNA
Source: RNAcentral